AUGGGCCUCCCAACAACUAGGAAGCUGGCAUUAAAAAACAAGAUUGUCUUUGGCACUGGUGACCAUUAUCAUGCCCCAACUUUGGCAGCAAAUAUGGCAUUCGUCAGAGCAGUUUCACAGACGGGGAUGUCCCUCUCCAGUAUUGAACAUAGACCAAGGGCAUUAACUGGUGAUUAGUUACACGCAUUCAUGACAACAAAUGUUAAAGCAUUCACUCACAUAUUAGAAUCUAAUUUCAAAUUUUCAAUUGAAUGUGUUACUGAAGUCCAUUCAUCAAAAUUCAAUUGCAUAGGUUCUGCUUAUUUUAAUGGAGGUGUAAUAACAAAUUCUGGCAAGAUGAAAGUUAUUCUUAGUUGAACAACGCCAUGUUUCUGAUAAAGUACCAGGAUCCUUGUACAAGUUGACUUUUUACUAUUUAUUUGUUGUUAAUAAGUUGCCAUAGUCCCAAUGCAAGAUAUAGCUAUAUUAAAAAAUUAGUUUGUCAAUAGUUAUAUUUACUACCAUGUAAAUAUAAGUAGUUGAUGCCGUCUCUGAGACAGUUAACCCAGGGCCUCAAAUAUUCUACCUAAGUAGUUGAUGCCAGAACAACUGAAACGGGUUUGCAAAUUAUGAACUUUUCAUAAUCUGUCAGUUUGCAACUGAAAUAUAAUUUGCACUAAUGCAAUUGUAAACCCUUCUUCUGUCAUGAAAAUCAGGUUUUCAGUUUGAAUUUACAGUUGGUGCUAUCUACCACCAAGAGGCAAUCCGUUAAGAUUCUAACAUUCCUCGGCUUCAACCUCUCAUGUUUGAUGGAUACUGGUGAUGUGAUGCAUAAGUACCUUCAGAUCCAGUUGUGUUUGAACCUCUACUUGACCAAUCAAGGACACUUUUUGAACAUUGUUUUGUUCUGAUGACUUUGGAAGAACUGACAUGGCAAUGGAUGAUUGAUGAUACUGCACCUGCAAUUCAUGAUCAUUUCCUGAAGAACCUGGAGCAUGGCAGUUGGGUUUGGAAUAUGUAUCUGUGACAAACAUGGUCAAUUUGUGCUUUCAAAGAUAGAAUGGAUUGCCCUUCUUUGUCGAAUGGAUGCCGGCGUACCUCUUGGCAGAACCUGCGAUUGCUUUAGGUAUGAUAUGGGCUGGUGCUUUGCAGAAUGCUACAGCAGCUGAGCCUGGUGCGGCACAGUCAUAUUCAGCCGCUGUUAAUUGGUGAAGUAGAAUCUGAAUUGCUUCGGGUCUGAUGCGGGCUGGUGAUUUGCAGAAUGCUACAGCAGCUGAGCCUGGUGUUGCGUAGUCAUAUUCGACUUUUGUUAAUUUUAAAAUUCGACUCCUGGGUGAUUCAAAUGUAAUAUUGAUGCAUCCUUUGUGUCGCAUUUAAAUAAAGUUGGGUUUGGAAUAUGUAUCCGUGACAAACAUGGUCAAUUUGUGCUAUCAAAGACAGAAUGGAUUGCCCUUCUUUGUGGAGUGGAUGCCGGCGUACCUCUUGGUGAGUAUAUGUUCCCUAAUUGAUGGUAUGUCCUUCGAUGUCCCUAAGUUGAGUUUAUGUUCCUCCAUGUCCCUAAAACGGAUGGUCUGAAUGCAAUUUCAGUGUGAAUGCUUAUUCAUAACUACAAAUGUUCAUAACUACAAAUGUAAGUGGAGAAGACCUUUGGUGCCUUAGAUGCAAAAAUUGAAUAUAUGUCCUCCAUGUCCGUAAAUUGAAUAUAUGUUCCUCGA
Trifolium pratense (red clover) is the source of this 1694-nucleotide long non-coding RNA. RefSeq lists it as uncharacterized. NCBI's taxonomy places the organism in Eukaryota, Viridiplantae, Streptophyta, Magnoliopsida, Fabales, Fabaceae. The transcript has 3 exons. The record is from RefSeq and is a predicted model, not a curated record.